AUUGAACGCUGGCGGCAUGCCUUACACAUGCAAGUCGAACGGCAGCACGGGUGCUUGCACCUGGUGGCGAGUGGCGAACGGGUGAGUAAUACAUCGGAACGUACCUUAUCGUGGGGGAUAACGCAGCGAAAGCUGUGCUAAUACCGCAUACGCCCUGAGGGGGAAAGCGGGGGAUCGAAAGACCUCGCGCGAUUAGAGCGGCCGAUGCCUGAUUAGCUUGUUGGUGGGGUAAAAGCCCACCAAGGCGACGAUCAGUAGCUGGCCUGAGAGGACGAUCCGCCACACUGGGACUGAGACACGGCCCAGACUCCUACGGGAGGCAGCAGUGGGGAAUUUUGGACAAUGGGGGCAACCCUGAUCCAGCAAUGCCGCGUGAGUGAAGAAGGCCUUCGGGUUGUAAAGCUCUUUUGUCAGGGAAGAAACACCGGCUCUAACACAGUCCGGGAAUGACGGUACCUGAAGAAUAGGCACCGGCUAACUACGUGCCAGCCGCCGCAGUAA
RNAcentral lists this ribosomal RNA (501 nucleotides) under uncultured bacterium. RNAcentral describes it as "partial 16S ribosomal RNA". It matches the Rfam family "Bacterial small subunit ribosomal RNA", at positions 29 to 523 of the family's 1533-position model. The record is from RNAcentral.